RNAcentral lists this unclassified non-coding RNA (535 nucleotides) under uncultured Gammaproteobacteria bacterium. RNAcentral's name for it is "partial contains small subunit ribosomal RNA and 16S-23S ribosomal RNA intergenic spacer". The stretch from base 1 to 254 matches the Rfam family "Bacterial small subunit ribosomal RNA", at positions 1281 to 1533 of the family's 1533-position model. The record is from RNAcentral. Lineage: Bacteria; Pseudomonadati; Pseudomonadota; Gammaproteobacteria.
ACCUCUCUCAGUCCGGAUCGUAGUCUGCAACUCGACUACGUGAAGUCGGAAUCGCUAGUAAUCGCGAAUCAGCAUUGUCGCGGUGAAUACGUUCCCGGGCCUUGUACACACCGCCCGUCACACCAUGGGAGUUGGUUGCUCCAGAAGCAGGUAGUCUAACCGCAAGGGGGACGCUUGCCACGGAGUGGUCAAUGACUGGGGUGAAGUCGUAACAAGGUAGCCGUAUCGGAAGGUGCGGCUGGAUCACCUCCUUUCGAGAAUGACGUGCACUCCACGGCGUCCACACAAGACACCUGCAUUUGAGAAGAUUAAGGGCCUAGGACUUUGGGUCCCAGCGCCCGAAAUAUCGGGGCUGUAGCUCAGCUGGGAGAGCACCUGCUUUGCAAGCAGGGGGUCACCGGUUCGAUCCCGGUCAGCUCCACCAGUUUAUUGAAGUACGGGUCUGUAGCUCAGGUGGUUAGAGCGCACCCCUGAUAAGGGUGAGGCCGGUGGUUCGAGUCCUCCCAGACCCACCAUUUCUCAAAUGCCUGCACAC